RNAcentral lists this transfer RNA (72 nucleotides) under Ictidomys tridecemlineatus (thirteen-lined ground squirrel). RNAcentral describes it as "Spermophilus tridecemlineatus (thirteen-lined ground squirrel) tRNA". It matches the Rfam family "tRNA". Rfam says of the family: Transfer RNA (tRNA) molecules are approximately 80 nucleotides in length. The record is from Rfam by way of RNAcentral. Lineage: Eukaryota; Metazoa; Chordata; Mammalia; Rodentia; Sciuridae.
GGGGCUGUCACUCAGUGGUAGAGUGCUUGCCUAGCACAUGUGAAGCACUGGGUUCCAUCCCCAGUAGCACCA